Molecule: ribosomal RNA, 806 nt
Filed under: uncultured bacterium
Lineage: Bacteria
Description: bacterial SSU rRNA
Rfam family: Bacterial small subunit ribosomal RNA
Source: RNAcentral
AGAGUUUGAUCCUGGCUCAGGAUGAACGCUGGCGGCGUGCCUAAUACAUGCAAGUCGAGCGAACAGAUAAGGAGCUUGCUCCUUUGACGUUAGCGGCGGACGGGUGAGUAACACGUGGGUAACCUACCUAUAAGACUGGAAUAACUCCGGGAAACCGGGGCUAAUGCCGGAUAACAUGUUGAACCGCAUGGUUCUACAGUGAAAGACGGUCUUGCUGUCACUUAUAGAUGGACCCGCGCCGUAUUAGCUAGUUGGUGGGGUAACGGCCUACCAAGGCGACGAUACGUAGCCGACCUGAGAGGGUGAUCGGCCACACUGGAACUGAGACACGGUCCAGACUCCUACGGGAGGCAGCAGUAGGGAAUCUUCCGCAAUGGGCGAAAGCCUGACGGAGCAACGCCGCGUGAGUGAUGAAGGUCUUCGGAUCGUAAAGCUCUGUUGUUAGGGAAGAACAAAUGUGUAAGUAACUGUGCACAUCUUGACGGUACCUAACCAGAAAGCCACGGCUAACUACGUGCCAGCAGCCGCGGUAAUACGUAGGUGGCAAGCGUUAUCCGGAAUUAUUGGGCGUAAAGCGCGCGUAGGCGGUUUUUUAAGUCUGAUGUGAAAGCCCACGGCUCAACCGUGGAGGGUCAUUGGAAACUGGAAAACUUGAGUGCAGAAGAGGAAAGUGGAAUUCCAUGUGUAGCGGUGAAAUGCGCAGAGAUAUGGAGGAACACCAGUGGCGAAGGCGGCUUUCUGGUCUGCAACUGACGCUGAUGUGCGAAAGCGUGGGGAUCAAACAGGAUUAGAUACCCUAGUAGUCC